GCUCACGACAGUAGAGCUCCACUGUCUGCUUUGUAAAGACAAAUAUCAAACAUGAUUCUUUUGCAAAAAAUCUGAGAACCAACAGAGGGGAGAAUGAGUGGAGAAGGGAAACUAGUGGGUGUGACCGGAGCAUCCGGUUACAUAGCUUCCUGGCUAGUGAAGUUAUUGCUUCAACGUGGCUACAGAGUCAAAGCUUCAGUUCGUGACCCAAAUGAUCCAAAGAAGAUUGAACACUUACUUGCACUUGAUGGGGCUAAAGAAAGACUGCAAUUGUUCAAAGCCGAUUUACUGGAUGAAGGAUCUUUUGAUCCGGUGGUUAAGGGAUGCGAAUGUGUUUUCCAUACAGCAUCCCCAUUUUACUUCACUGUAACUGAUCCCCAGGCACAACUUAUUGAUCCUGCAUUGAAGGGGACACUGAAUGUUCUUAGAUCAUGUACUAAAGUUUCUUCUAUCAAAAGAGUGGUUAUAACAUCAUCCAUGGCUGCAGUUGCUUUCAAUGGCAAACCUCUUGCUCCUGAUGUAAUAGUUGAUGAGACUUGGUUUUCAGAUCCUGAUUUCUGUGAGAAAUCUAAGUUAUGGUACAUGCUCUCCAAAACCUUAGCAGAAGAAGCUGCUUGGAAGUUUACCAAAGAGAAUGGAAUGGACAUGGUUACAAUAAACCCAGGAUUGGUGAUUGGUCCUCUCUUACAGCCAACUCUUAAUACCAGUGCAGAGUCAGUUCUGAAGCUUAUAAAUGUUGAGAUUAUUUGUGAUGCAACACUUGAGAUUACUGGAUGGCAGGAGCAGAAAAAUAUCCAAAUACAACAUACAGAUGGGUUGAUGUUAGAGAUGUUGCCAAUGCACAUAUCUGUGCCUUCGAGAAUCCUUCAGCUUCUGGAAGAUACUGUUUAGUUGGGACAGUUAUACACUCUUCUGAGGCUAUGAAGAUUCUUCACAAACUUUACCCAGAUAACAAUCUUCCCAAAGAAUGUACAGAUGACAAGCCACCUGCGACAAAAUAUCAAGUAUCGAAAGAGAGAGCAGAGAGUCUAGGUGUGAAGUUCACUCCUCUUGAUGUAAGUUUGAAGGAGACUGUUGAAAGCUUGAAGGAGAAGAACCUAGUUAGCUUCUGAUUUGUAUUGAUGGAUAUUCUUGAGGCCUUCGUCUUGUAAUGAUUAUGAAGCAUUCUAAAAAUAAGCUGAAGCCUGCACAUACAUCAUUUACACUAUUUGGUUUGCAGGUGUAAUUGAAUACUUGUCACUAUUCAUUAAAACUCCAUCUUGGUUUCCUUUUCUAUUAAUUUAUACUGUUAAAGCACUA
Molecule: RNA transcript, 1299 nt
Organism: Jatropha curcas
Lineage: Eukaryota; Viridiplantae; Streptophyta; Magnoliopsida; Malpighiales; Euphorbiaceae
Gene name: phenylacetaldehyde reductase
Source: RefSeq, a predicted model, not a curated record